This is a long non-coding RNA of Terrapene triunguis (Three-toed box turtle), 224 nucleotides long. RefSeq lists it as uncharacterized. The record is from RefSeq and is a predicted model, not a curated record. The transcript is spliced from 3 exons. NCBI's taxonomy places the organism in Eukaryota, Metazoa, Chordata, Testudines, Emydidae.
GAGGCACAUAAUCUUCUGAGAAACUUGUCUGAUGGGCUGAUAUUAUUUGUUCUUGAUCUGAGCUCAAAGGCUGGGAAGUCAAAGAAAUCCAAAGGAGGUCAAUGAGCAAUAGUUUUCUGCAUGAUGCACAAAAAUGCUACACUGGGGAAUUUAAGUCACAUUUACAGGCUUCUUUGCUGAAAUGGGAGAGUCAUUGCUAUACAAGAAAAACAAGCUGUAGAAAU